RNAcentral lists this RNase P RNA (364 nucleotides) under Bacteroidota bacterium. RNAcentral describes it as "Bacteroidetes bacterium RNase P RNA component class A". It matches the Rfam family "Bacterial RNase P class A". From Rfam's summary of the family: Ribonuclease P (RNase P) is a ubiquitous endoribonuclease, found in archaea, bacteria and eukarya as well as chloroplasts and mitochondria. Its best characterised activity is the generation of mature 5'-ends of tRNAs by cleaving the 5'-leader elements of precursor-tRNAs. Cellular RNase Ps are ribonucleoproteins. Lineage: Bacteria; Pseudomonadati; Bacteroidota. The record is from RNAcentral.
UCAACAGGCCGGCCUGUCGCUCCCGCAAGGGGGAGGAAAGUCGGGACAACACAGAGCACCAUACUUCCUAACGGGAAGGCGCCAUUUACGAAUGGUGACAGCAAGUGCCACAGAAAAUAACCGCCCAAACGGGUAAGGGUGAAAACGUGGGGUAAGAGCCCACGCUGCUUUAUGGCGACAUAAGGCAGGGGUAAACCUUAUGGGUUGCAAGGCCAAAUAUGCCGGUGUUUGAGGGCUGCUCGUCCGAUGCCGGUGGGUAGGCUGCUUGAGUUAUGCAGCGAUGUAUAACCCAGAUAAAUGACAGGCACUCGUCCGACAGAAUCUCAGACGGGUACAGAAUCCCGCUUACAGGCCUGUUGAACAU